AGUAAGUUUCGGGACAAGUCCCAAUAGAGUCUCGGACAGGGCAUUUACAUACAAGAUAUAUUUGUAAUGCCCUUGCUGAGAUUCCAUUGGUUCCACGUUUCACAUUUAU
This 109-nucleotide microRNA precursor is filed under the name Caenorhabditis remanei. RNAcentral describes it as "mir-786". The stretch from base 11 to 101 matches the Rfam family "mir-786 microRNA precursor family". The record is from RNAcentral. Lineage: Eukaryota; Metazoa; Nematoda; Chromadorea; Rhabditida; Rhabditidae.